UACAAUAAUGCAGGCUUGGCUGAGUCACGGGUGACCAAGAAAGAUUCUUAAUUUGUGCAGAGAACAACAUUCAUAUAUAUUCUCAGAGAAAUGAGAAAAGAAACCCACAAGAACCUUUCGUACGACAAAGCAGUCACCGAAUUAUUCUGAAGCAACGUCAUUAUCUUGGCGCCAGAAUAUUGCCCUGAUUGAUUUUUGUCUCCUAUCAGAAACAUGUAAACAAAACACCUAACGGAAUCACAGCAUGGCCGAUGAAGGUCCCUGGAGGAAAAACAAAUGGGAACACUCAGAAACCGAGCCAUCCUAAAUUUUUCUAACGGCUAACAGGAGGCAAAAUAAAAUUCCGUUCGUCU
Molecule: long non-coding RNA, 353 nt
Filed under: Setaria italica (foxtail millet)
Lineage: Eukaryota; Viridiplantae; Streptophyta; Magnoliopsida; Poales; Poaceae
Description: long non-coding RNA (SITA_LNC005394)
Source: RNAcentral